CCAAUGUGAACCAUACCAAACUGUUGCCUCGGCGGGGUCACGCCCCGGGUGCGUCGCAGCCCCGGAACCAGGCGCCCGCCGGAGGGACCAACCAAACUCUUUCUGUAGUCCCCUCGCGGACGUUAUUUCUUACAGCUCUGAGCAAAAAUUCAAAAUGAAUCAAAACUUUCAACAACGGAUCUCUUGGUUCUGGCAUCGAUGAAGAACGCAGCGAAAUGCGAUAAGUAAUGUGAAUUGCAGAAUUCAGUGAAUCAUCGAAUCUUUGAACGCACAUUGCGCCCGCCAGUAUUCUGGCGGGCAUGCCUGUCCGAGCGUCAUUUCAACCCUCGAACCCCUCCGGGGGGUCGGCGUUGGGGAUCGGGAACCCCUAAGACGGGAUCCCGGCCCCGAAAUACAGUGGCGGUCUCGCCGCAGCCUCUCCUGCGCAGUAGUUUGCACAACUCGCACCGGGAGCGCGGCGCGUCCACGUCCGUAAAACACCCAACUUCUGAAAUGUUGACCUCGGAUCAGGUAGGAAUACCCGCUGAACUUAAGCAUAUCAAUAAGCGGA
Molecule: ribosomal RNA, 550 nt
Filed under: Trichoderma koningiopsis
Lineage: Eukaryota; Fungi; Ascomycota; Sordariomycetes; Hypocreales; Hypocreaceae
Description: eukaryotic LSU rRNA
Rfam family: 5.8S ribosomal RNA (bases 164-317)
Source: RNAcentral